Non-coding RNA from Caenorhabditis elegans, 150 nucleotides. The record is from Ensembl. Lineage: Eukaryota; Metazoa; Nematoda; Chromadorea; Rhabditida; Rhabditidae.
CCAAAACACUACUUUGCAGAACGAAUCAUCAGCCUCCACCAUAGUGUACUAAUGCGAUGUUGUUGAAUGUACAGUUCUGUUAGAGAUUAUAAACCAAAAAUUUAGCUAUACGGUAUCAAAGUAUACCCAUUUAUGGUAAACUGCACCGUA